CCUACGGGGGGCUGCAGUGGGGAAUCUUCCGCAAUGGGCGAAAGCCUGACGGAGCAACGCCGCGUGAUCGAAUGAAGGCCUUCGGGUUGUAAACAUCUGUUGACAAGGACGAAUAAGCCAUGCGUAUAGUUUGGUGUAUGACGGUACUUGUUUAGAAAGCUCCGGCUAACUACGUGCCAGCAGCCGCGGUAAUACGUAGGGAGCAAGCGUUGUCCGGAAUUACUGGGCGUAAAGGGCGCGUAGGUGGGUGCUUAAGUCAGGUGUGAAAACUCUGGGCCCAACCGGGAGACUGCAAUUGAAACUGGGUAUCUUGAGGGCAGGAGAGGAAAGUGGAAUUCCUGGUGUAGCGGUGAAAUGCGUAGAUAUUAGGAGGAACACCAGUGGCGAAGGCGACUUUCUGGACUGUACCUGACGCUGAGGCGCGAAAGCGUGGGUAGCGAACGGGAUUAGAUACCCGAGUAGUC
Molecule: ribosomal RNA, 464 nt
Filed under: uncultured bacterium
Lineage: Bacteria
Description: partial 16S ribosomal RNA
Rfam family: Bacterial small subunit ribosomal RNA
Source: RNAcentral